RNAcentral lists this ribosomal RNA (469 nucleotides) under uncultured bacterium. RNAcentral's name for it is "bacterial SSU rRNA". It matches the Rfam family "Bacterial small subunit ribosomal RNA", at positions 321 to 806 of the family's 1533-position model. The record is from RNAcentral.
GAGACACGGCCCAAACUCCUACGGGAGGCAGCAGUGGGGAAUAUUGCACAAUGGGGGAAACCCUGAUGCAGCGACGCCGCGUGAGCGAAGAAGUAUCUCGGUAUGUAAAGCUCUAUCAGCAGGGAAGAAAAAUGACGGUACCUGACUAAGAAGCCCCGGCUAACUACGUGCCAGCAGCCGCGGUAAUACGUAGGGGGCAAGCGUUAUCCGGAUUUACUGGGUGUAAAGGGAGCGUAGACGGCUGUGCAAGUCUGGAGUGAAAGGCGGGGGCCCAACCCCCGGACUGCUCUGGAAACUGUAUGGCUGGAGUGCAGGAGAGGUAAGCGGAAUUCCUAGUGUAGCGGUGAAAUGCGUAGAUAUUAGGAGGAACACCAGUGGCGAAGGCGGCUUACUGGACUGUAACUGACGUUGAGGCUCGAAAGCGUGGGGAGCAAACAGGAUUAGAUACCCUGGUAGUCCACGCCGUAAA